GACGAACGCUGGCGGCGUGCUUAACACAUGCAAGUCGAACGGAAAGGCCCUGCUUUUGUGGGGUGCUCGAGUGGCGGACGGGUGAGUAACACGUGAGUAACCUGCCCUUGACUUUUGGAUAACUUCAGGAAACUGGGGCUAAUACCGGAUAGGAGCUCCUGCUGCAUGGUGGGGGUUGGAAAGUUUCGGCGGUUGGGGAUGGACUCGCGGCUUAUCAGCUUGUUGGUGGGGUAGUGGCUUACCAAGGCUUUGACGGGUAGCCGGCCUGAGAGGGUGACCGGCCACAUUGGGACUGAGAUACGGCCCAGACUCCUACGGGAGGCAGCAGUGGGGAAUAUUGCACAAUGGGCGGAAGCCUGAUGCAGCAACGCCGCGUGCGGGAUGACGGCCUUCGGGUUGUAAACCGCUUUCGCCUGUGACGAAGCGUGAGUGACGGUAAUGGGUAAAGAAGCACCGGCUAACUACGUG
Molecule: ribosomal RNA, 468 nt
Filed under: uncultured bacterium
Lineage: Bacteria
Description: partial 16S ribosomal RNA
Rfam family: Bacterial small subunit ribosomal RNA
Source: RNAcentral